AUUGAACGCUGGCGGCAGGCCUAACACAUGCAAGUCGAACGAGUGGCGGACAGGUGAGUAAUGCCCGGGAAACUGCCCGAUGGAGGGGGAGAACUACUGGAAACGGUAGCUAAUACCGCAUACCAUCGGAUGUGCCCAGAUGGGAUUAGCUAGGAGGUGGGGUAAUGGCUCACCUAGGCGACUCUCCAUAGCUGGUCUGAGAGGAUGACCAGCCACACUGAAAUUGAGCAACGGUCCAGACUCCUCCGCGAGGCAGCAGUGGAGGAUAUUGUACAGUGGAAUGGAGCCUGGUGCGACCAUGCCGCGUGUAUGGAGAGGGCCUUCGGGUUGUAAAGUACUUUCAGCGAGAAGGCUUUACUCGCUGAAGAAGCACCGGCUAACUCCGUGCCAGCAGCCGCGGUAAUUC
Molecule: ribosomal RNA, 406 nt
Filed under: uncultured bacterium
Lineage: Bacteria
Description: partial 16S ribosomal RNA
Rfam family: Bacterial small subunit ribosomal RNA
Source: RNAcentral